AAAAUGGUGAAGAUUAGUUGGGAAAUUUCGUUCUCCCUGGCCAGCCGCCGCCGUUCCACUCGCCUUUCUCCCCUAAUCCCCCAAUCUCGCCAUCGAGCGAAGAUGAGGUCAACGCAGGUGUCUGCGCCUUCGAGGAACGAGGACCACGCCACCCCAUGCGCCCUCGACAAGCCUCUUGCCAUCUCCGGUUGCAUGCGUGGUCUUCUUCCCCAGUGGUGCCCGCGACCACAAGCCGGCCAAGGUGAGUGGAUGGCGUCGUCUCCUCCCUCCUCCAAUCGAUUGCUAUUGUGCGCUGUCGUCCGUCGUCGAGGUCGACCAGCUAUAGGGCGAGCAUGUGCGCUGGCCACCCCCUUCCCCUCAUCCUCUGCAGUCACCAGGCCACCUACCGGCUACCCGAGCUAGACAUCUUUGGAGGAAGCCCGUGAAGCUCGGGAUAACUCUAGGGUUUCCGCCGCCUGUAGCUAGCUCGGCCGUCCUCUCCUUGGCUCAACUGCUCAAGCUGUUGUGAGCUGUAGCUUGCUCUCCCCGCCGCCGCCUUGCAUAUCUUCCAUCGACGAUCACCUCUGCAGGGAUCGCAGCAUCGAUUGAAGCAAACCCCGGCCGCGCUCUUAAUUAUCUUCUCCAAUCCUUGAUGGAACAAUACCGUACGUCGUUGACCCGAGAAGCCCGUCGCCACAGGCUGCCGUCCGUCGUCUCGUGUUUGUGCGUCCAUUUCCGCCACUGCGCCACUGUUCCCGGCCAGCCGGGCUCGCCGGUCGUGUGGUGACGUGGCACGUCCGGCCGUCACAUGCUUAAUUAAUUACACUUUCUUUUUAUAUUAUUACUAGCAAAAGUACUCGUGCGUUGCACCGGGUGAUUACGAAAUGUGUACAGUGAACAAAAAGUGUAGUUUGGUUUAGACAUCUAAUCUGGUAAAAAAAUAUUUAUUUUUAGAUAAAUAAUCUGCUUUAUAUUUGUGGAAUAUACAUGAUGUUUAGUUUGGAUGAUUUGUAGCAUGGGAGAAAAUGGAUAGACAAACAAUGCACGUGCAGAAAAAAUAUAUUAUUUAUUUAGAGUUAGUACAUUUUAUUUAAGAAAAAAUUCCCGUGCGUUGCAACUAGAAAGAUUUAGAAAAAAAAGAAAUUUGGAAUUAAAAAUAUAAGGAAUAUUGAAAUAUGGGUUUAGAGUUCAUAUAGAAAUAAAAUUUAGAAAUAAUAGAAAUUAUAAAUUAUAUUGGAUAAGAAGUCUGUAAUAUUCUCCAAAAGAGGGUAGAGUGCAUAUAUGAAUACAAUUUAGAAAAAGAAUUGAAAUUCGAAAUAAAAAAGAUUUUUUUUGAAAAUAAACCGUCAUGAACAAUUAAAAUGGUAUUAAUGCUAUUUCUGAAAAUUACAAAAAUACUUAAAAUCAAUAAGAGAGAAAAAACUAAUUUAAGUCCGGCCCAAUAGAGCGGCCUUCUGUGCUUCACACGUGCGGUCGGCCCAUAGGAUGGCCCAAUAGCGCGGCGGCCUAAAAUGUCAUCCGGCCCGACGUGGGAGAAGCAUGGACCGUCCGAUCUUAUGGACAGUCUCGGUUGGUCCUGACCUAGAUAAAUAUCCGCAACCCUAACCCUAACCCUAAAAUCUCUCUCUCUCUCCCCUAACACUCUCUCUCUCUCUCUUUCUCUCUCGUAAAGCAACGGCGGCGGUGGUGGUGACUAUUCCAACGGGCGACGACGGCAGCAGCCUUCCCCACCGAGCAGCGGUGACGACGUCCUUCUCUCCCGCAAGCGGGCAGUGGCGCCCUGCCCUCCUGCAAUUGGCGGCGGUGGUGGCACCGCUCCCUCUCCCCACUACAGGCUCCUUCUCUCCUCGUCAAGCGGUGGCCACCGCCUCGCUAGAUCUGGUGGGUCGAUGGCUCUCCAAUGGCGCGACACUCGGGAUCUGGCUCCUCCCUCUCCCCCUCGGCAUCCAGCGCAGCGAUGGAUUGGCAGCUUCUCGGUGGCGCGAUGGCACAGCGGAUCCCGCGCAGCGUCGGUCAUCGGUUCAGAAUCUAGCCCCCCGAGUUCACGACCUCCACUCACUACACCAUGACAUAGUGUCUAUAGCAGUGUAUCUACCGUAGAAAGUUGUUUUUGUGGCAACUCAUCUGCCAGGAAAAACCAUUCCCGGCACUAGCUAACUGCCCUACAAAGUCCUGUAGGGAAUGCCCUUUGCCGGCAGAUACCAAAUCCUCGGCAGUUAACUGCCGUAGAUGCAAUUUUGGCUUCCCCGGCAUAUGUUCAAACUACCGGCUGUUAAAUGCCCUAGAUGCUUCAAACAUCCUCGGCACAUCAUUCAGGCAUCACUGGCAGUUAUAGGUUUUGCUGGCACCAAAUCAAUUGUAUGGUUUGUAAAAUAGAACAAAAAUUUCAGAUUGCAUAGACAUUAAUUCUCUGUGCAUUCAAUAAUUCAGGCUGCACAGAUUGCAAAAAUUUCAGAUUGCACAGAUACAUCAACACACUGCAGAAAACAUUGCAUUGUAGGGUUCCAUACCACAGUUUCAGCAAUAACAAAUUCAUGAGUAACAAUUAUGUUGCACCUAGGAGCAAUAUUUACAUGCCUCUGCAUAGAGCAUAGAGCAUAUGCAUAUGAGUACAGAUAAUUCUUAGCAUUCAUUAACUUUAAGUGACAUCUCUUUCAAAUUCUAAUAUAAAUACACAAUGGGUCUUUUGUAGGUCUUUGUUGUUGGGACAAGUGAUAUCUUUAGCAGGUCUUCAUUCAGAAAUAACUUCAGCAAAAAAUCUUCAAUGGACAAUUUCUGGGACAAGUAACCCUUUAGCAGAACAAUUUCAGUAGCCCUUCCGAUUUUGACCUAAAAAUAAUAGUUUGGAAUCUGUGAGCAAUCUUGCAUGUAGAAUAUAAAGAACUAUCUAUCAUAAUAUAAAUACAUUCUUAUCACAAACUGACAAGACCAUGCAAACUGGCUAGGAUCAAAGAAACAAAAUGACAACAUAAUGGUUCUAGCUCCAUAUGCCCUUGUCUCUGUUGCCCUUGUCUCUGUAGCACAUGACAACAUAACCUCCCAAAAGGUUUCAUGUUGGAUAAAAUGUUCUAGGUAACUAUACUAGUCCAUGUGGUUAAUUUGACAAACAAUCAUAGGCUGCAGUCCUAAAAUUAAGUGACCUUGUGGUAAGGUUCAGAAACUAUAUUAUUCUAUGCAAGCCACUCAUAUCCAGCAUCACAUCAAUCCAAAUAUGCAUGAGGCAAGCCACAUAGUUAACAGAAUUCAUAUACUUACCACGAACACGGCUACCUUCAGGUUGUGCUAGAGACUUUUGUUGUUCCUUUAUCUACAGAUUAUAACAUAUGCAAGUACAUAACUGAGACAAGAAAAUCAAAGUGAAUUUCAAACAAUAGACAGUCAGAUGGAUGAUUACAUGUUGUCGUGGCCAUGCAAUAGACCUUCCAACAGCAUCAGAAAUGUAGUUCAUGUUACCAUACGGACGAAGGAAUGGAGCAGCCCUUUUCAGCACGUGAUUCACCACAACUUCACAACAAUCAGGACCCAAUUGAGUGCCACUCACUACAGUCAUCCGAUUUGCUGACAGCAGGGUACCCUUUGCAACAGGAGUAUCAUGGGGGUCUAAUAAACGAGUAUAAGAUAACUUCUUUUCCAGCCUACAACAUGUGAGUGUUUCAUUGUAGUGAUGCACAAGAAUUGUGUGAAACAGAAGUGAAAAAAGAAAAAUAACAGAGGUUAUCACCAUGUGUUCUUGCGGUGAAGGAGCUGCAGGUCUUGGAGGUAUCUGCAUGUGCAUAGAUCACAUUAUAUACUGUACUAUGGAGAAGGGACAAUAUUCAUUUUCAGUGUAGGCUUAUUGUACAUACCAUUCCAUAGGAAUUGUUUUCCUCAUCACUCGGCUGAGCUUCGCCAUUU
This is a non-coding RNA of Oryza sativa Japonica Group (Japanese rice), 3873 nucleotides long. NCBI's taxonomy places the organism in Eukaryota, Viridiplantae, Streptophyta, Magnoliopsida, Poales, Poaceae. The record is from RefSeq and is a predicted model, not a curated record.